Molecule: transfer RNA, 62 nt
Filed under: Xenostrobus securis
Lineage: Eukaryota; Metazoa; Mollusca; Bivalvia; Mytilida; Modiolidae
Description: tRNA-Leu
Source: RNAcentral
AGCUAAGUGGCAGAUAAAUGCGGUAGAUUUAAGCUUUAUGAAUGGAGGUCUUCCCUUAGCUU